UGGACGUACCUCUGGUGUACCAGUUGUUCUGCCAAGGGCAUGGCUGGGUAGCUAUGUCCGGAAUGGAUAAGCGCUGAAAGCAUCUAAGCGCGAAGCCAACUUCAAGAUAAGAUUUCCCACCGCAAGGGUAAGCCCCCAGAAAGACUAUCUGGUUGAUAGGUCGAAGGUGUAAGUGCAGCAAUGUAUUUAGCUUAUCGAUACU
Molecule: ribosomal RNA, 202 nt
Filed under: Clostridioides difficile
Lineage: Bacteria; Bacillati; Bacillota; Clostridia; Peptostreptococcales; Peptostreptococcaceae
Description: partial 23S ribosomal RNA
Rfam family: Bacterial large subunit ribosomal RNA
Source: RNAcentral